RNAcentral lists this ribosomal RNA (165 nucleotides) under Allium unifolium. RNAcentral's name for it is "5.8S ribosomal RNA". It matches the Rfam family "5.8S ribosomal RNA". From Rfam's summary of the family: 5.8S ribosomal RNA (5.8S rRNA) is a component of the large subunit of the eukaryotic ribosome. It is transcribed by RNA polymerase I as part of the 45S precursor that also contains 18S and 28S rRNA. Lineage: Eukaryota; Viridiplantae; Streptophyta; Magnoliopsida; Asparagales; Amaryllidaceae. The record is from RNAcentral.
AUGACUCUUGGCAACGGAUAUCUAGGCUCUCGCGUCGAUGAAGAACGUAGCGAAAUGCGAUACUUGGUGUGAAUUGCAGAAUCCCGUGAACCAUCGAGUCUUUGAACGCAAGUUGCGCCCAAGACCAUCAGGUCAAGGGCACGUCUGCCUGGGCGUCACGCCUCG